This 250-nucleotide ribosomal RNA is filed under the name uncultured eukaryote. Its description in RNAcentral is "partial 18S ribosomal RNA". The record is from RNAcentral.
UGGUGGAUUGAUUUGUCUGGUUGAUUCCGAUAACGAACGAGACCAAAGUACGGUAAAUAGGAGAAAGGGGGGCUUGAAUGGGAGAAAAAUAUGUUGUAUUUGGUGUAUUACAUUAAAUCGAUGUAUGGAUUUCCUUGGUCUUUUUCGGUGGAUGAUUUUGUUUCUUCGGAGAUGAAUUUGUUCACUAACCUCUUUAAAGAUGGAAUUGGAUUUCGGUUUGAUUUCAGAACUCCUUCUUACAUAGACUUUU